RNAcentral lists this ribosomal RNA (250 nucleotides) under uncultured bacterium. Its description in RNAcentral is "partial 16S ribosomal RNA". It matches the Rfam family "Bacterial small subunit ribosomal RNA", at positions 524 to 773 of the family's 1533-position model. The record is from RNAcentral.
UACGUAGGGGCCGAGCGUUGUCCGGAGUUACUGGGCGUAAAGCGCGCGCAGGCGGCUCGUCAAGCCUGACGUGAAAGCCCCCGGCUCAACCGGGGAGGGUCGUCGGGGACUGGCGAGCUUGAGGUCGGCAGGGGCUGGUGGAAUUCCCGGUGUAGUGGUGAAAUGCGUAGAGAUCGGGAGGAACACCCGUGGCGAAGGCGGCCAGCUGGGCCGGACCUGACGCUGAGGCGCGAAGGCGUGGGGAGCGAAC